Long non-coding RNA from Heterocephalus glaber (naked mole-rat), 1111 nucleotides. The record is from Ensembl. NCBI's taxonomy places the organism in Eukaryota, Metazoa, Chordata, Mammalia, Rodentia, Bathyergidae.
GUUGUCUCUUAGCUCUGUUAGUGGUUUCUCUUGCAGUAUAGAAGCUUUUUAAUAAAAUGACAUCCCAGUUGUUGAUUCUUUGUGCUAGUUCCCGUCCUACUGAGGUUUUGUUCAUAAAGUCUUUUCCUGCACCAAUGUCUUCAAGAGUUGUACCUAACUUAUCUUCCAGCAACUUUAGUGUUUCUGUUUUAAUAUUUAGAUUUUAAUCCACUUUGAUCUUAGUUUAGUGCAUGGUGUUAGAUAUGGGUCUAGUUUUAAUCUUUGGCAGGUUGAAAUCCAGUUUUUCCAACACCAUUUCUUAAAGAGGCUAUCUUUCCUCCAGCGAGGGUGGUUGGCUCCUUUGUCAAAGAUGAGGUGGCUGAGUGUGUCUGGAGUUGUUUCUGCAUCUUCUGAUCUACUUCACUGAUCCUCAGGUCUGUUUGUUUGCCAGUACCAUGCUGUUUUUUAUCACAGUAGCUUUGUAAUAUAGUUUCAUGUUGGGGGCUGUGAUAGCCCCUGCCAUGUCUCUAUUGCCUAGAAUUGCUUUUGCUAUUCUAGGUCUCUUCUGGUUCCAAAUGAAUUUUUGUAUUGUUUUCUAUAGUUCUGUGAAAUAUGUAGUUGGAAUAUCAAUUGGCAUUGCAUUAAAUCUAUAUUAGCUGAGUAAUUUUGAGUAAACUAUUCAAUUUUUUUUCUGUGUGGCUGGUAUUAACAUUUCUGAAAUUUUGCCUGGCCAGCAAGCUUCAGACUGCUACUGCUGCUCUCCAGAUUUAUGCACAGAUACUUGAGCCAAUAAUUGCCCUUUCUUACUAAGUGCAACUUGACCCCAGGCUCAUUUCUGAUGAGCCUGAAAUGAGCUGGAACAUGUUUUAGUUUACAUGAAUGUCUUGUUGUUGUUGUUGUUGUUGUUGUUGUUGACUUCAGCCUGGUACUUGCUUUGCCUCCUAAGGAUGAGGGAUGUGUACUUUUUCAGACAGCACAACAAGUACUUAUUGUUUGUCUGCACUCUAUUCUAUUUAUAGAUACUAUAUUCUUUAACCCACAUAACAACAUUCAGUUGUAGUGCUAAUAUCACUUCCAUUCUAUAGAUAAGGAAAUUCAGGAGUAGAGAAAUUAAACAGUUUGCUCAAGGUCU